RNAcentral lists this long non-coding RNA (3975 nucleotides) under Triticum aestivum (bread wheat). RNAcentral's name for it is "long non-coding RNA (TAES_LNC013335)". Lineage: Eukaryota; Viridiplantae; Streptophyta; Magnoliopsida; Poales; Poaceae. The record is from RNAcentral.
AACAGGUGUACUUACUGGUUAGUAAUACAUGAACGCCUAGGUAGUUAUACAUGACCUCAGAACAUAAACUUCAUUGAGCACUUGAAACACAUAACAUACAAGAAUGAGGUGCGAAGCUGCGAAUGCUGAUGGAUCAACACUUCAGAUUUUGCAAGCACUUGACAGUUCAAUGUCAAAAGAACAUCCACACAUCCACGAACUUUAUAGAGGACACACUUAAGUUCAACUGGUAGAAAUACAAGUUGUGUAGCCCUCGUCAGCAACACAAAAAUCUGUAGAAAAAUGUACCCAUUCUCAUGGGCAUAUCAACAAGUAUGUUCAGAGCAAAAUGUCUUCUGCCCUUCUCCAUAGAGAAACCACUCGAGUUCCUCUUCUUUUCCUCCUUGAUGAGCCACUUAGACUUGAAUUCGUACUGGCUGUCCACAUCCAACAGCUUCCAUGAGACGAAGUUGUGGUCGAGAGGCCACAGGCUUGGGCGUUUCCUCAGCAACUCGUGCACCGUCCUGGGAUGCGUUUGAGGUGAGACGCCCGCAAGACCACACACAGACAACGCCGAAACGCCAAGCAUAGCCGCGACCACGCACACACGAACACAAGACACACAUAUGCGCUGUGAGCGACUCAAUGAAGACGUGCAUCUACAUGGUCACAUGGAUGCGCGUGGAAGGUGCAGCCCACAGUCGGCGGUGGUCAGUUCGAAGGCGGGGAAUCAACAAGGUCGCGACAGGAAAUCAGCACGGCGGUGGCAACAUAUUCAGACCUGUCAAUUGUUAAGACGAAUAUGAGAGUUCAGAGCCAACUUCUUGUUUAGUAUCAACAUAUUCAGAGUGAACUUAGAUGCCCACAUUAUAGCAUGAGUUCAUGGCAGAAAAAGGUGAUACUCAAGAUAUUGAACUAAACUAAAAUUAUAUAUUGAACUUAACUAAAAUAAGAAUUAAACAGAAAAUUAUAUAUUGUGGAGUAACACACACAAACCGAACCGUGAUCAAGAGUGUGACGAUCCAUGAACCUGCCCCGAUGAUGUUUUUGAACUUCAUAUUUCAGCAAGAAAUAUAUUGAAUAAAAAUCUACGAGAAAGAAACUUACAACAAAUUUUGUUGAAGCGCCACCUGAGAACUCCUAUAGGUCAUACAGAAGAUAAACAAAAGAUGAGUUUAGUGUGGUGGAGCUGGUGCAUUACAGCGACCUCGCCAGAGAUGCAACACCCCAACACGCGAGCACCUCACAUAUAUAUGGGAACAGUGUUAGACUGCUAUAUUGAACUCACAUAUUGUAUUUUCAACAUAGAACUACUCAUUUUUUAUUUUUUUGAACUUCUAUAUUGAACUCUUUUUAGAGGUAUGCCCGUGAGCUUCCCAACUUUUCUAUUUUUGAAUGAAUCAAUGGGGGUGUACCUUUUCUUCCUAUUUUGUUUUUACCAUGAACUUGCCAGGUUUUGGAGUUCGAACUUACUAUGUGAUUUUUUUCGAACUUUUCCAAGUUUUUAUUUAAAUUCGUAGAGAUCAGCAAAUUGUUUUCUUAUAUAGGUCUCAAUGAAACGCCUUUUAACUUUCUUUUUGUACAUCUUUUCUGGUUUCUGGUCUUAAUCUUAUUUCCCAACAAUUUGUUUUUUGAACUGGUGUAAAUUCAUGUUGAGAUAAUUAGAUUUAUGCCCCUAGUUGUGUCCCACUCGUCCGUUUUACCCCUAAUUCCCAAAAGUCACUGGUUCUGUCCAAGUCACUUUGCUCCUAUUAUGCUUUUGCCCUUUGACCGUUUGACCAUCAGUUUGAAAACUUCAUAACUAAUUCAUACUAAAUCAGAAAAAUGCAAAUAAGAUACCAAAAUGUUUUAAAAAACAUCACCUAUGUGUCAGUGUCAUUUGCAUUCAUGAAAAAAGUGUUGGAAAGUGCCCAUCCGAGUUUUAGCUCUUAUGCUACCACCAUGAAUAGUAAAAUCUAAAAAAGUUCAAAAAAAUUUAAAAAAAUUGGUGGCAAAGAAUGGCAAAUGUUUUAAGUGCCUGCCAAGUUUCAUCAGGGAAUAACAUUCGUGGGUGCCGUGACAAAAAAAACAAUCAGCACUCCAAAAUAGAUUUUUUUUUGCCACGACUUCCAUGAAUGUCGUUCCCUAAUGAAACUUGGCAAGCACUUAGAACAUUUGUUGUUCUUCGCCACCAUAUUUUUUGUAAUUUUUUUGAAUUUUUUUAGGGUUCACUAUUCAUGGUGGUAUCAAAAGAGCUAAAACUCGGAUGUGCACUUUCCAACACUUUUUUCAUGAAUGCAAAUGACAUUGACAUAUAGGCGAUGUUUUUCUAAACAUUUUGGUAUCUUAUUUGCAUUUUUCUGAUUCAGUAUGAAUUAGUUAUGAAGUUUUCAAACUGACGGUCAAACGGUCAAAGGGCAAAAGCAUAAGAGGAGCAAAGUGACUUGAACAGAACCGGUGACUUUUGGGAAUUAGGGGUAAAACCAUUUAUGUUUGACCUUACUAGCUCUUGGUCAGAAUAACUCAAGAACGAGAUGGAACUAGAGAAAUAUGACAGGUCAAAUAUGGCAAAAAAGUGCAAAUCAAACUGUUUGUCGGAUGGGCAAAUGUACAAGUUCACAUAAAAAGAACAAGUUCAUGUACAGUAAUAUAGAAGUACACAAAGAUACCUAAAUAUAAUUUAUGUACUUUGAAAUAGUUUGUUUUACUUCCAAAAUACUUCAUUUGUUUUGAAAUAUGAACUUCUAUAUUUAUUUCCUUAGAACUUAUAACAGAGUAUGCAGCACAAUUAUGCUUCAUAUUUGAACUUCUAUAUUUAUUUCCUUAGAAUUAUGCUGCAUGCUCACACAACAUCAGACCCAAUUUCUGAACUUGCAAGACAAUAGCGGUAGUGAAUAUUUUUUAUUACCUUCUUUGUAGAGGUAGCAUUAAGAACACUAGGUAAUAGCUAGGAGCUAACAGGAGGUGCACCAACAGCUAGUGGCAGUAGGUCGAGGUCGUCCUGGAUGCUGCUGGAAACGAGAAGCGGACGAAGGUCAAGGUCGCCCUAGUUUCAAAAAUAUCACACAACCAAGUACUGAUCCAAAUCAAUCAUUGUUCAUAUCUCCAAAUCUAGUGCAAAAAAUUAGAAGCUACUGUGUAAAAAAUCUAUGUUGAUUUACUCCAAAACACAAAAAAUGUGAAGAGAAUAUUCAUCGCACACUUUUGGUCUGCACCACAAUGUUCCUAGAACUGUACACGUUUCAGAACUGAAAGAAAUUUAUGAUUAUAAUGAUGAAUUGGCCAUCAAGCAUGGCACGAGGAGCUCGAACGGAGAAGCUAGGAAGAGCUGGACUGGUGUGAGUCCUAUAGCUGGACAGGGAUGCGAAAGGCGACACCGGAGGACUACGGCAUCGGUGUCAACAGCGUUGCCCUACUGGAUCCAGCGGGUGGCUUCUCCGGGGGCGCGAGGCAUCGGGGGAUGCCAAAAUUAACAAAGGUAAUUGCUAAGUAUGUAUCAAAAUGGGAAGGAAGAAAAAUGGAACUUAUAGCUCAAAAUUGAUCUUGAAUAGUGAUGUCAACUAGUACUACAGAAAGUUCUGGUCAGUCCAGUAACUUAUUAAGUGGUAAGUCGGUAAGAGGACUAGCAUUCAUAUCUGUUGGAAAAAAAUAUCCAAGUUGGCAUGGUUUCUGUUGAACUGAGGCUUUGUGCUGAAACUGAACCAUGCUUGGAAGCCUUAUGCUGAAUAAAACAAAAUUUGGACAUAUAAUACAUACUGAAUCACAGCUUUUUGCUUCUUUUUUGUAUGAAUUGCUCGUAUAAUACACACUGAAUCACUAUUUAUUUUAUUAACAAAUUGCAUUAUACUAUUGAGAGAAUGUACCUUUCAGCAGCAAUGCAUUGAACCUCAAAAAACUCAAGAUUUGUACCUCGACACACCUUUCUUCUCCAAUGUCACUACCAUCGUAACAUAAAAUAGAGAAACCUGGAGCAUCAGUGGGUUAAACACAUGCAGCAACAUCAAAAGAGGAACACUA